Molecule: long non-coding RNA, 818 nt
Filed under: Bos indicus x Bos taurus (hybrid cattle)
Lineage: Eukaryota; Metazoa; Chordata; Mammalia; Artiodactyla; Bovidae
Description: lncRNA (ENSBIXG00005011905.1)
Source: RNAcentral
GGGGACUACCGGCGCCGAUUCGCGCCCAGGAAGAGGCAAUUCUGGCAAUCACGCGGUGACCAGUCAAUGACCAGAACGCUUCCCUGAGGCCAUACCCCAAACUGGCAGCCAAUCUCUCGCUCCAUAGCCGUCCCCACCUGGAUGUAACCAUGAAGAAACGAAGGGGUGGAGUUGGAAAAGGGACGAAGACAUUUGCCACUUAAUACCGGUGUCCACUCAGACUCGCAUGCACUGAAUAGGUCUCAUGAAAGCCAGCCACAGUCCCCCAGCGGGCAGGAGAGAGAAAGCUUCGGACUGAGAUCUGAAGGCCUGGCGUGGGGAAGGCCUCUGUCGUCGAGUGCGAGUAAUACGUGAAAAGGACAACAAGACCUUCCAUUCUGUUCGGAAAGGGAUCAUCUCCAAGGGGACCCACAAACACCGCAUAGGUGUGAUAUCCUGAAUCUCAGCUGGUGGUUCCUAUCGUUGAGGUUGCUCAACACUGGGCUGCUGGUCCUAGUAGAGUGUGCAUCAUUGUGGGAACAUGGAGAAAGGCUCAAUCUUUACAGCCUGACUACGGCGAUUUUCUCAGAGUCUAUGGCUGAGGACAAGAACUAUGGCACCGUGACACCUGUGAGGAGAAAGAUGACAACCUCGUGGGCCUUCCUUUUCAAUGGCCCCAUAUUGCAAUGUCCAACCAGCCCAAAACUCACUGGCUCCCCCUCACACGUACUCACACAACUCCAGACAGGACAGAUAUGUGGACUUACCUGGUAAGUCUCAAGUAGUGAGAAAGAAUUGAGACAGAAUAAACAUGUCCAUCUGAGGCCUAACGCUCCUCA